Molecule: long non-coding RNA, 1103 nt
Filed under: Struthio camelus australis
Lineage: Eukaryota; Metazoa; Chordata; Aves; Struthioniformes; Struthionidae
Description: lncRNA (ENSSCUG00000002169.1)
Source: RNAcentral
GGUAUUUAAAAAUAUUUUAAAGUCUGGUAAUACCAGAUUAAGUGGAUUUGCUUCUCCUACCCCAGGUCUGUAUUUAAAUCAGUGACCUUCAGCUGAAACUUUAAUAAAAGUCAUGAAUUUUAUUUGCUGCAUUGCAUUCACCCACUGUUCCAUGACUAAUGCCAAAUAGGAGUUUAGAGAUGUGAAGAGCAGUCCCAUGAGACCCAGACUUUCACACAGAAGUUGCGCUUAUCUCCAAAUACCGUAGCAAUCGCAAGCCAGUUCCCAAUGUUUGGAAUCACAGCAAUUGCUCAAGAUUUGGACCUAAACUCUGAGGACAGACUGAAGGGAUCAACAGAUGAGAAACAUAUUACUACAACAUUAGUUAGCAGAAAGUCACCAUCAAUCCACAAACACCACUGUCAUGUCACAUGCCGAUUGCCCUAAUCUGACACUGAACUGACAUAAACCAAAUGACCCGCGUGUCAGAUGUGCAGCCGUUCGCAGCGUCGCUCAAGGUACGGUUUCACUCUUGGCAAGCUACGCACAGCUACCGAAGCAUGUUAGCAAUUAGGGAAGUUCACUAUUUGGCUGCAAGAAAUAAGAGUUGCAGAUCUUCACCUCAGCUGAAAAUGGAUCACUGUCGUAGCUGACAUUUGGCUCUCCUGAAACAUUUUCCCACUGGGUACUUUGUCAUAGCGUAUUGCUUAGGAAGAAAAUCUCCUACAGAAACAAGAGACAGUCAUUGAUCGCAGUCACCACUCCUUCAUGAAUAAUCGUCGUUCACUUCAAAGAGGGCUCUGAAGUAAAAGGACACAUAGAGCACUAACAGUCAGAUAAUAACAUUCAUUUUGCUUUCCGGAGCUCCCUCUGGGGACCUUCCCUCAACUUCUUCCUCUGUCUCUCAGUCCGUUCCUCACUGCAGCCUCUGAUUUUGACCACUGCACCCAUCUGAAUUUUAUGUCACGCAUGUAAAGAGACCAUGGCUCCACCUGCUUUACGGCUAAAGCAUAUACUUCUUUCUCGUUAGCACACAUCAGAUGGAAUUAAACUUUUCAACAGUUUGGGAAACUGAUGCGAAUGGGAUCCAUAUGUUUAAAAUAAAACUCAGUAUUUUGUUUACA